UUCUAUAAUUUCUAUCUCUUUAUCAAUAUGAAGAAUCUGUGAUUACAUUGGGACCACCCAGAUAAUUCAGGAUGAUGUCCCCAUCUCAAGAUCCUUAACUUCACAUCCUUAACUUCAUUACGCAGAGUAACAUAUUCACAAGUGCCGGGGAUUAGGAUGUGGACAUUUUCUGGGGCCAUCACUCAGUCGACCACACCAGGGAAUGAAGAAUCAGCGCUGGGGAACAAGAUAAUGACCAACCCACAAAUGACACCGGUCCUGCUCAGCCUUUGAGACUCAACUUUGGUGAAAAUAACCUGUAUCGGCUAGACACCAAAAGGAAGGAAAAACCGGCUUCUGAUACAGAGCCUUUGGUGUUGGUCACGAAAGAAGAAUCCAGCUUCAUUUUCCUAAUCGUUCCUGCUCCUUGCGACGUGAAAGUUAUUUACAUGUUACGUUUUGGAGGCUGUGAGUAAAGACAGAUUUGACUGCCCUGAAGAAGGAAUUCUGGAUCCCUUUCUCUAUUAUAUUUGGAAAUAUGUUGAUAUGGU
This is a long non-coding RNA of Cercocebus atys (sooty mangabey), 530 nucleotides long. RefSeq lists it as uncharacterized. Lineage: Eukaryota; Metazoa; Chordata; Mammalia; Primates; Cercopithecidae. The record is from RefSeq and is a predicted model, not a curated record. The transcript has 3 exons.